GUGGUGAUGGUGGUGGCGGUGGUGGUUGGGGGGGUGCGGCCAAAGCAAUGAAACAUUUCUGAUCUGCAAUCUGCAGAGGCAAGAGAAGCUGCACCUGUGGUUUCCUUCCUCCUGACUUGGCCUUGCUCCAUGCAGCCUUUCAGAGAAAUGAAAUCCAUAUGCCUCUCCGUCCUCCUCCGCUAGAAUUAAAGGGGAUGCUUUCAUGUGAGGAGCCUCUAUCAGUGAAGAGGAGGGUGUGUGUGGCGGCUCCACACACGUCUGUGUCGCUCUCAGAGCCGGUGCCUGCGUUGCAUUGUGGGAUAGCAAAGCCAGUCUUUCUCCCCUCACACUCAGGGCCAAUUGACAUCAAUGAGCUCCCCUCCUCUGAGGAGGACAGGGGAGGCAGGGACAGAGGGGGAAAUCUACAGUGAAAUAAUUAGCAGGAGAAGGACCCUCUGCUCUUUCAAUCUGUCUUCCUGGUAUCUGGCUCCUCAGAGCUUCCUGGUAUCGGCUCAGACCUCAUUUUCUUUCAUGGAUUUUUUUUUUUCCUUUUUGUCUCUUUUUUUGAACCCCUAUUCUUGUGGAAUCCAUUUCACUUCAUUUUUUGGAUUUUGUUUCUAAUUGGCGUCACAAGUUCCCCUUCUGUAUUUCAAACAUGCGCUGAUUGCUGCUUUCACCAGGCUCUUAGUGUUUGAUCUUCAGCCAUCUUUCUGGUGUCCUUUUUCAAAGCUGAAACAUGAAGCACCCCACUCAUCUCUGAUAAAUUACAAGGAUUUACUUGGAGUGUUAAUUGUGACCUCACUCUCUUUCUUCGUGUUUUAGGGCACGUAAGGCCGUCACUGUUAUUAGCCCACGGGGAACAAGACUGCUAAUCGUUUAAUGAGAGAGAAAGAAGGGUGUCUGAGUUGUUUUGAAAGUCAGUGACUUCCCCAAAACCCCAAAUUUAUAUUUUUACAAACUUGGACACUAUAGUUCACCCUUUCGAGAAGCAGUUGUGUCUCAAUUAUUUUAGCAUAUACUGGUAACAACUAUUGAGGAUGACUCGACAAUAACACAGUGCCAUUUAAGACAUUAUUAAUAAUAAUUGAACACCAACUGAGGGUAAUCAUUCUACAUUGUCAUCUCAUCACAUCUCAUCAUCACUUCCUGCUCAUUUUCCAGGGAUUGAAUGAAUGACUGAAUGUGAUGACACACACACACACACACACACACACACACACACACACACACACACACACACACACAC
This is a long non-coding RNA of Clupea harengus (Atlantic herring), 1225 nucleotides long. The record is from Ensembl. NCBI's taxonomy places the organism in Eukaryota, Metazoa, Chordata, Actinopteri, Clupeiformes, Clupeidae.